This 434-nucleotide ribosomal RNA is filed under the name uncultured Clostridiales Family XIV bacterium. Its description in RNAcentral is "bacterial SSU rRNA". It matches the Rfam family "Bacterial small subunit ribosomal RNA", at positions 341 to 792 of the family's 1533-position model. Lineage: Bacteria; Bacillati; Bacillota; Clostridia; Eubacteriales; Clostridiales Family XIV. Incertae Sedis. The record is from RNAcentral.
ACGGGAGGCAGCAGUGGGGAAUAUUGGACAAUGGGGGAAACCCUGAUCCAGCGACGCCGCGUGAGUGAAGAAGUAUUUCGGUAUGUAAAGCUCUAUCAGCAAGGAAGAAAAUGGCGGUACUUGACUAAGAAGCCCCGGCUAACUACGUGCCAGCAGCCGCGGUAAUACGUAGGGGGCAAGCGUUAUCCGGAUUUACUGGGUGUAAAGGGAGCGUAGACGGCAAAGCAAGUCUGAAGUGAAAUCCCGGGGCUCAACCCUGGAACUGCUUUGGAAACUGUUUAGCUAGAGUGCAGGAGAGGUAAGUGGAAUUCCUAGUGUGGCGGUGAAAUGCGUAGAUAUUAGGAGGAACACCAGUGGCGAAGGCGGCUUACUAGACUGUAACUGACGUUGAGGCUCGAAAGCGUGGGGAGCAAACAGGAUUAGAUACCCUGGUA